GUUCCAUCAAGAGUCGGCAGAGGGAUUGGCCCGAUGACGCCGCAGCAACCUUCACUAUUGAAAAGGUGCUAAUUCCAACAGUGCUUUCACUGGAAGAUGGGUA
This is a regulatory RNA element of Megasphaera sp., 103 nucleotides long. It matches the Rfam family "SAM riboswitch aptamer (S box leader)". Rfam says of the family: The SAM riboswitch is found upstream of a number of genes which code for proteins involved in methionine or cysteine biosynthesis in Gram-positive bacteria. The SAM riboswitch acts at the level of transcription termination control. NCBI's taxonomy places the organism in Bacteria, Bacillati, Bacillota, Negativicutes, Veillonellales, Veillonellaceae. The record is from Rfam.